CUAGCUUAUAAAUACACCACAACAUCACUGUCAGUACACAGUGGGCGGGAGAGACAGGAAGAGAGGAAGAUGUCACAGGUGAAGGAAAUAAUGACGCAAAGGAUGGGUAGAGAAGAAAGAGACACACCUUAAAGAAUAAUAGUUGAAGGGGGGUCGAAGUUGUAGACAACAAAUACUUGGCAUUUGGUGUGGUCUCUACAGUGCAAAAGAAUGGUGAUGGAACAGUUAUUUGUGGCUGUGCUAAUGAUGUCUGCACACCUAGCAGUCUCAUAUCCUCUGACUACAGAGAGCUAUUACAUGGAUGGAGGGAGACAAUGCAGACUGUGUCCACCAGUGGCGGUUCUGUGGUGGGGCCAGGGGGGGCCAGUGCCCCUGUGACAACAAUUAUGGACCCCCUUGUGGCCCCCCUGAAAGUGGAGUCAUUAUCAGAGUUCCUGUUCAGAGUGCUCUCCCUGUCGAGAUGGUUCCUACACAACACGAUUGAAUGCUGAGUCCAGUUGUCAUUCCUGCUUCAAAGACUGCAAACGUGAUUUGCACCUGGUGGAGGAUGAGCCGUGUACUCCUGUAUCGAACGCUAGAUGUCGCUGUGAGGCUGGUUUUACCUGCACCGACAAAGAAGACCAGACAGGAAACUGUAGAGACUGUGAGAAGGUCCCUCAGCUGCCCCCACCUCCCAUGCCACCUAGCAAUGUAGUGGGCAUCAGAAUCAACCAGACAGGAACUUCCUCUGAACACAGCAGGACUUCCUCUUCCGCUGGACGCUGUCAACCUCCUAACUGUGACACUCCACAAUCACCAGUCUCACAAGCAGCUGACACCAGCAAACACUUGGCAGCCAUUUUGUGUCCUAUGGUGGUCAUUGGAAUCCUAGCCGUUAUCAUUCUGUUAUGUAUCCGUCGCCCAGGAAAUGAAGCCUGUUUCAAACAAGCUCUCAAGUUCUGUAACAAGGGAGUAAGAGAAACGUUGCCUAACAAGACCAAAGAGCCACCUCAUCAGCACAAUGCCAGAGAGGCACAGCCCAGUAUUAAGCACCAGACAGUGGAUCCACCACCUAUUACAGCAGCAAAUAUGGGCCCGGUCCAUGUCCACAAUGCUGGAACAGUCAUCUUCAGUUUACUCAACCAGUUCACUGGUAUGGGUGGAGGGAUGGAAGGGAGAGGGCAGAAAGAGAGGGAUGAGGAAGGAUGUCCGACCCACCCCACACCCUCCCCUAACAUCCAUCUAUCCCAGGAGGAAAGGGAUGGGGAGAUGGACUGUGUAUUCUUCCCUUCACAGGAACAAGGGAAGGACAGUCACGUUUCCAAAGAGGAGGUGCAUUGAGGGGAGGGGGAUUGAGGACAGAGGACGCUCCAAGUGAAAACUUCCCUUCUAGGAUCAGUUUAGCCAACCCUACAUCCUAAUGUUAAUCAUAAGGAGGAUGAAGACUGGUCUGACCCUGGAUCAGUGGUAAGGGACAACAUCUACCUGGGGCUCUAUUCAGUCUGUAUCACUGAAGCGUUACAGAUUGUUUGAUUGAGCCGACAUAUGCAGUGUUUAACGUGAAUGCAGUCUCCACUGACGCGAGAACAUUACCUUUACAUUUCUAUCAGGCUGUAAAGCUGAACUUCUGAGAUACAUGGAGCCCUUACUCUCAGAAGAACACUGGUGAAUCCCACAACUCUAGAAUGGCCAUUAUUUCCUGUUCUAGACUUAGAUAGAGCUAGGCAUCUCACUAUGGUGGUCAUGUACACAUCCACUUGCUCUCAUUUUAUUGAACUGUAUAAUAAGCUUUCAGUCUCAACUGCUGCAAACUGUUUUUUCUGUGUUCAUGUGGCACCUUGAACUGUUUUCGCACAAAUUAAAACCAAAAUAUGAAAUAUAAUUUUUCAAUGAAUACAGGUGAUGGGGCAAUUGUAUGACAUUACAGUAGGCCUGUCACAUUUGUGAAUCUGUUCUUUAUUUAAAAUACAGCACUGUAUGUUUUAAACAGCCACUACUAUGUAAGAGUAAACACUGGCAUAAAGCAUAGAUACAGCAAAAAUCAUAAUUGUAAUGAAGGUGUAAAACAUCUUCAACAUAAACAUGUACAGUACAUGUAUUCAGCACACAAAUGUUUGUGUGUGUGUGUGUGUCUGUCUCUCUCUGUGUCUCUUGUUCACUCUUCGUUUCUCACUCUCCUUCUGCUCUUUCUCGGUCACAGACUCCCACUCAUCUUUAGCCUGUAUCUUCAUACUUCAAAGUGUCUUUUUGUCCUAUUUUCUUGUCCUUUCUGAAAGUCCUAGAUACAGAAGCCACUGCAUUAAACCAAUACAGCAGCCUGUCUAGCCUUCAGGUUAGUUUCACUUCAAUGGGAAUGUGAGGUAGUCUGUUUGUCUCCCAGCUCGCUUGUGAGUUCUCAUCCUCUCCUUCGACACCCACUUCCUCCAUCAUACGUCCAGUAGCAGCUCUGGCUUUCCACACACUUCCUGGACCGGCAUGGGCACUUCCUCCUCCGCUGUGCUCUGAUUCGCUGGAGUAGUCUUUUUGGGAGACCAGAAGC
Molecule: long non-coding RNA, 2518 nt
Organism: Oncorhynchus tshawytscha (Chinook salmon)
Lineage: Eukaryota; Metazoa; Chordata; Actinopteri; Salmoniformes; Salmonidae
Source: Ensembl